RNAcentral lists this ribosomal RNA (372 nucleotides) under Triticum aestivum (bread wheat). RNAcentral's name for it is "partial small subunit ribosomal RNA". The record is from RNAcentral. Lineage: Eukaryota; Viridiplantae; Streptophyta; Magnoliopsida; Poales; Poaceae.
GGGUUCACCAAGUUUGACGUGGAGAAAUUCGAUAGCACGGGUAACUUCGGUCUAUGGCAGACAAGAGUCAAGGAUAUUUUGGCGCAGGAGGGAAUCUUGAAGGGUUUGAAGGAGACGAAGCCAGCCAAGGUUGUCAACGAUGCGUGGGAGGAUAUGCAAGUGCAGGCGGCCGCUACCAUACGGCUUUGUCUUGCGGAUCAGGUCAUGUAUCAUGUCAUGGACGAAGAUACUCCUAAGGGAAUUUGGGACAAGUUGGCAAAUCGUUAUAUGUCCAAGUCAGCGACCAAUAAGCUGUAUUUGAAGCAAAAGUCCUAUGGGCUGAAGAUGCAGGAGGGGUCGGAUCUUGUGGAGCAUGUGAAUGCCUUUAAUCAG